AAAAAAAAAAAAAGAAAGAAAAGAAAAACAGUCAUAUAGACCCAAGGACACAAGCAUACCAACAUGCAAAUGACUGUCCCAGAAGGAGAGGAAAGGGGCAGAACAAAUAUGAAAACGUUAAAAACCCUAUGUAACUUGCAGUGAAUUGAAUGUUUGUGUCUCUCCCAAUUCAUGUGUUGAAAUCCUAACCUCCAAUGUGAUGGUAUUAAGAGGUGGGGCCUUUAGGUUAUUAGGUCACAAGAAUAGAGCCUUCAUGAAUGCGAAUAUGGUUUUCUAAAAGAGAUCCCAGGGAGUGCUCACCCUUUCGACAAUAUGAGGUACAGCGAGAAGCUGGCUGUCAGCAACCCGGAAGAGGACUCUCACCAGAACCCCAACCAUGCUGGUGCCCUGAUCUUAGAUUUGCAGCCUUCAGAACAGUGAGAAAUCUGUUUAUAACCCACCCAGUCUAUGGUAUUUUGUUAUAGUUAUAGCAUCUUGAACUCACUAAAACAUAACUUUUAAAGAAGUUAAAGCAGCAGUUAAAUAUCUUCCCACAAAACACAAGGCCCAGAUGGCUUUAUAGGUGAGUUUUUACCUUCAAAGGACAGAUCAUCCCAAUUUUAUGUAAAAGAAAAAGAAGAAAUAUUUCCCAAUUUAUUCUAUAAGGUUAGUAGGACCCAGUUACCAAAACCCAAGGUAUAAGAAAAAAAUUUGAGCCAACAUUUUACUCCUGAAAACAGAGCAAGACUCCGUCUCAAAAAACAAAAAAAAGUAAAGGAAAACACUGUAGUAUGACAUGCACAAAGGAUGUAAUUGGAUUCCUGAUUCACAUCGUGUACAAAAAUAAACUCCAGAUGGAUUAAGGACCUAUAUGUCAAAACAAAAUGUUAAAAGACUUAAGAGGAAACAUAAAUGAAUAUAUUUUAUAACUUGGAGUAGGGAGAGAUAUCUUAAACAAUAUAUGAAAAACACCGUCUAUAAAACAAAAUGAUAAGAGUUGACAAUGUUAAAAUUUAAAACUUUAUAAAUAUGUAAAGGGAGUGAAGACAGGUUAUAAACUGGAUGAACAUAUUCACAAAUACACAAUAGACAAGGGAUUAGCAUAAUAGAUAUGUAUGUGUUGGUAUAUACACACACACACAGACACACACACAUACAAACAGACACAAAACUCCCACAAAUAAAAUUAAGCACUGGUAACUCAAUAAAAAAAAAAUGGGCAAAAGACACAAAAGACACAAAUAGGCAUUUUUUUUUUUUUUUCUUUGAGAUGGAGUCUCUGUCGCCCAGGCUGGAGUGCAGUGGCGCAAUCUCGGCUCACUGCAAGCUCCGCCUCCCGGGUUCACGCCAUUCUCCUGCCUCAGCCUCCCGAGUAGCUGGGACUACAGGUGCCCGCCACCACGCCCGGCUAAUUUUUUCUAUUUUUCAGUAGAGAUGGGGUUUCACCGUGUUAGCCAGGAUGGUCUCGAUCUCCUGACCUCGUGAUCUGCCCACCUCGGCUUCCCAAAGUGCUGGGAUUACAGGCGUGAGCCACCGCACCCGACCACAAAUGGGCAUUUCAUUGAAGAGCAAACAAAUGGUCAAUAAACAUAUGAAGAGAUACUUCACGUAAUCUGAAAUCAGGGAAUGGCAUAUCAAGACCAUACAAGCUACUGUUUUACGCUCCACUUGACUGGCAAAAAUUAAAAGGCACUGAAGAAGAUAUAGGCCGGGUGCAGUGGCUCAUGCCUUGUAAUCCCAGCAUUUUGGGAGGCCGAGGUGGGCCGAUCGCUUGAGCUCAGGAGUUUGAGACCAGCCUGGGCAACAUGGUGAAACUCCAUCUGUACCAAAAAUACAAAAAAUUAGCUGGGCAUGGUAGCAUGCACCGGUGGUCCCAGGUACUUGGCAGGCUGAAGUGGGGGGAUCACUUGAGCUCUGGAAGUAAAGGCUGCAGUGAGCUGAGAUCGCGUCACUGCACUCCAGCCUGGGUGACAGAGUGAGACCCCGUUUCAAAAAAAA
This 1977-nucleotide long non-coding RNA is filed under the name Homo sapiens (human). RNAcentral describes it as "HSALNT0098715". Lineage: Eukaryota; Metazoa; Chordata; Mammalia; Primates; Hominidae. The record is from RNAcentral.